Molecule: long non-coding RNA, 866 nt
Organism: Papaver somniferum (opium poppy)
Lineage: Eukaryota; Viridiplantae; Streptophyta; Magnoliopsida; Ranunculales; Papaveraceae
Exons: 2
Source: RefSeq, a predicted model, not a curated record
UUAAAACAGCAGAGGGGUCAAACUAAAUAAAUUAAAAAUGCAGGAAAAGGGGUAGAGAAGAUGGAAUCCGAUGAUGACGAAGGUGAAUGAGGUGAUAAUCCACUAGUGUCUUUAAAAGCUUCUUGAGACUUCCAUUAAAACUGACCCAAAACUAAUCCCACUUCUUCGACCACUAUAAUCAACCCAACUAUUCAACUUCCCACUUCCUCCCUUUCCUGUUCUAUCUACCAAAACGCUAAUCAAAAUAACCCAAAUUUCAUGUUUCCAAUUUUUCUCAUUCAAUUUUCUUCUCGGUCUAUUUCUGCAUCUUAUUUUUGUUCUCAGUACACAAAAAAAUGGUUUAGAGAUUUCAAACUCAUCAGGGUCGCCUGGGUAUAUUCCAAGUCCCCAGUCAUGGCUGGGUUAAGGGAAUGGAAGGGAUUCGAAGAAUUUUUUCUGCUAUAAAGUGAUGAUACGGGUUCUACAAAUUCCUGGAUAUUUUCUGCGGAAUUCAACAAAUUAUUCCCAAUGUAAGUUUGUCAAAUUCCAUGUGUUUGUGCUUUCAUCAGUUAUGGGUUUUAGGAAACUAGAUGAAUAUUUCAAUUCAGGGCCUUAUGUGUUUGUGGAAAUGCUUAAGAAAAAGUUUUCUACUGAUGACCGAAGAGUUGUUAAUGACGGCAACUAAAUUGGUCACUUUUAGAUUAGAGUGUUUUAUUAAGAGAUGAAAGAUCAAGAUUUAAUUUUGCUUGGUUUGGGUUUGUAUAAUUUAGAGAAAUUGUUCUUCAUUCAAAUGCAUGAAGUUGGGUGAUUUCAGAAACAUAUAGAAUUUUUCUUUGUAGUUUCUUGCAAAUGCAUGAAGCUGAUUACAUUGCAUACUGCAAUUAUUA